GUGGGGAAUUUUGGACAAUGGGCGCAAGCCUGAUCCAGCAAUGCCGCGUGCAGGAAGAAGGCCUUCGGGUUGUAAACUGCUUUUGUACGGAACGAAACGGUUCUCUCUAAUACAGGGAGCUAAUGACGGUACCGUAAGAAUAAGCACCGGCUAACUACGUGCCAGCAGCCGCGGUAAUACGUAGGGUGCAAGCGUUAAUCGGAAUUACUGGGCGUAAAGCGUGCGCAGGCGGUUUUGUAAGACAGAGGUGAAAUCCCCGGGCUCAACCUGGGAGCUGCCUUUGUGACUGCAAGGCUGGAGUGCGGCAGAGGGGGAUGGAAGUCCGCGUGUAGCAGUGAAAUGCGUAGAUAUGCGGAGGAACACCGAUGGCGAAGGCAAUCCCCUGGGCCUGCACUGACGCUCAUGCACGAAAGCGUGGGGAGCAAACAGGAUUAGAUACCCUAGUAGUCC
This 450-nucleotide ribosomal RNA is filed under the name uncultured bacterium. RNAcentral's name for it is "partial 16S ribosomal RNA". It matches the Rfam family "Bacterial small subunit ribosomal RNA", at positions 354 to 796 of the family's 1533-position model. The record is from RNAcentral.